UUUAGCAUGGAAUAAUAGAAUAGGACGUGUGGUUCUAUUUUGUUGGUUAUGGGACCGCCGUAAUGAUUAAUAGGGACAGUCGGGGGCAUCAGUAUUCAAUUGUCAGAGGUGAAAUUCUUGGAUUUAUUGAAGACUAACUACUGCGAAAGCAUUUGCCAAGGAUGUUUUCAUUAAUCAGGAACGAAAGUUAGGGGAUCGAAGACGGUCAGAUACCGUCGUAGUCUUAACCAUAAACUAUGCCGACUAGGGAUCGGACGAUGUUACUUUUUGACUCGUUCGGCACCUUACGAGAAAUCAAAGUCUGUGGGUUCCUGGGGAAGUAUGGUGGCAACGCUGAAACUUAAAGAAAUUGACGGAAGGGCACCACCAGGGGUGGAGCCUGCGGCUUAAUUUGACUCAACACGGGGAAACUCACCAGGUCCAGACACAAUGAGGAUUGACAGAUUGAGAGCUCUUUCUUGAUUUUGUGGGUGGUGGUGCAUGGCCGUUCUUAGUUGGUGGAGUGAUUUGUCUGCUUAAUUGCGAUAACGAACGAGACCUUAACCUGCUAAAUAGCCCGUGUUGCUUUUGCAGCACGCCGGCUUCUUAGAGGGACUAUCGGCUCAAGCCGAUGGAAGUUUGAGGCAAUAACAGGUCUGUGAUGCCCUUAGAUGUUCUGGGCCGCACGCGCGCGACACUGACAGGGCCAGCGAGUACUCCCUUGUCCGAAAGGACCGGGUAAUCUUGUUAAACCCUGUCGUGCUGGGGAUAGAGCAUUGCAAUA
This 763-nucleotide ribosomal RNA is filed under the name uncultured fungus. RNAcentral describes it as "SSU rRNA". It matches the Rfam family "Eukaryotic small subunit ribosomal RNA", at positions 803 to 1591 of the family's 1831-position model. Lineage: Eukaryota; Fungi. The record is from RNAcentral.